Molecule: ribosomal RNA, 301 nt
Filed under: uncultured bacterium
Lineage: Bacteria
Description: partial 16S ribosomal RNA
Rfam family: Bacterial small subunit ribosomal RNA
Source: RNAcentral
CAGUAGCCACGGGAAUACGAAGGGUGCAAGCGUUACUCGGAAUUACUGGGCGUAAAGCGUGUGUAGGUGGUUGUUUAAGUCUGUCGUGAAAGCCCUGGGCUCAACCUGGGAAUUGCGAUGGAUACUGGGCGACUAGAGUGCGGUAGAGGAUAGUGGAAUUUCCGGUGUAGCAGUGAAAUGCGUAGAGAUCGGAAGGAACAUCUGUGGCGAAGGCGACUAUCUGGGCCAACACUGACACUGAGACACGAAAGCGUGGGGAGCAAACAGGAUUAGAUACCCCCGUAGUCCCUGUCUCUUAUAC